CGUCGUUCAGCGUCGCUGGGAGAGUUGGUGCUUCCCACUGGGCUCCUGCUCUCCGCCGGAGCCGGGGAGAUGCCCGGUGGGCGGCGGGACGGGCUGAGGGGAGCGCGGGAGGGGGUUUGGCAGUGUUGGGGACCCACCACGCUGGCAGAACUUCAGUCCAGCACAUCACAUGAGAUGGGAGAGGAAACCUGACCUUGGAUUUAUAAAAAGAAACUGGGAUAAAAGGGGACUGAUGGAGUGCCAGAAGUUGCUGUCCAGAGAGUUUGGGAGGAAGUGGGAAUUAAAGGUGGAUUGGUUGGUUUGAGAGCGGCCGCGUUGCUAAGGGGCUGCAUUGUCCGGGAAGUUACAGUGAGAAACUUCGCUCCGACGUGCGAUUUUACACCGGUCUUUGUUGACACCUCCUGAAGGUGGGCUCGGGGUGCUCAGAGCAGCAAGGCUGCAGGUCAGCCUUCUGUGCUGCUGCUGGAGUCAGGCGUACACACUCCACUGCAUUUGCUGUGCCCGGGUGGCUGUGCUAAAGUCUUUGUUCUCCUGAUUAUCAUAUUUGUAGCUACAGGAAAUCGGAAGGGAAUGCAGACAGUUCACUGGAGGAAAGGCAAUUAGCAUACAUCCAGUUAUUAUUUAACGUGAAGGAGACUGCACAAGCCCUUUGUAGCUGUGCUGGCGUGAUGAGGAGCGUCAGCAUUUCAGCAGAAAUGGUCUGAAAUGACAGCAGUGUGGCUGGUGCAGCGUUCAGUGUAACUGAUCCUUCCCACGGACUUCCAGGAAAUUUAUGGACUGACCGUGAAGAGGACCAUCAUUGUUUUGUGUGGUGAUGCUGGGGAUGCUCAGCACGGGUGGGUGGAGGCGUUGGAGCGCCCUGAUGAAUCGUACACAAUUAGUGGGGCACUUUGCAGGCUCUUCUCCAGCAGUGGAGGCUUGGCCAUGUGUGACUGCAGGGUGGUUUAGGAUCGAAAAGUACUUUUAACAGGUGCCUGAGGCAAUCAGCAUGUGACUGGUUGUGAGUUUUAUUUUAACACACCUCAGGCUGCAGUGUUGCACAGGCUCCAGCUGAUCCUUCCAGCCCGUGGGAGCUGGUGACAGAGCCCUCGUGGUGCUGGGGACACCGAGGUGUGUUAAUGACAGGGGUCAGAGCCCUCCCUGUGCUGGGACACCAGGCUGUGUGGCAGUGUCACAGUGUUGACCCAGGAGGUCCAAGGAGGAAAGUGAACUCGUUCCCGAGGCACGCUGGCGUGGGAUGGAUGCUUCCAGCGGGCUCAGCUGUCAGGUUGGUGUAAGGCUGAGAUUUAAAACCACUUUUGUGUCACUUGUGUCUCUGCUGUGGUCUCCACCUACAGUGGAUUGAAUUUAAACUCCUUCAGGCUCUGGUUUCCAGGUAAGAGCUGGAGUAGAACGAUCUGUUUCUGGUUUCAGGCAGGGUUUGAGGGAGCUGGCUCCCUGUGCUGGGUCAUUCCCGAGGGUCUGUGAGCUCUGGGGAGGUUUCUGUGUGCAGGGCAGUGGAGCCUCUGGCUGAGCUCUCGUUGUCCCUGUGGUCGCUGUUGGUGGCCUCAUCCCUGAGCUUGCAGUGACAGCUGGCAGUGGCUCUGCUGCCCUGGGACAGCUCGGGGAGGGAGCAGUGGUCGCUGUGGAAGGGCUGCACUCCGAGCUGGGGUGGUUUCCUCGGGAUGUGCUCCGUGUGCUGCAGCCCUGCUGCAGGAGCUGCCCAGGAAGGGGGCUUGGCACAAAUACAUCUGGGAAAGUUCUUAGCCAAUGCCAUGGAAUUAACCCCACUGGGAUGGACUCUGUGCCCAGAUCCUGCACUUGGCCCUGGCCAAAAGGCAUUGAAGUUAAACUUCAAUGAGUGAAAUCAGCAAGCAGGGCACCUUAUUAAUUUCCCUUUCUAAUUAUUUCUUGGGUUCAUUCUCAUUUGUUUUAAAUAAACUUUGAGAGAAGCUGA
Molecule: non-coding RNA, 1936 nt
Organism: Agelaius phoeniceus (red-winged blackbird)
Lineage: Eukaryota; Metazoa; Chordata; Aves; Passeriformes; Icteridae
Source: RefSeq, a predicted model, not a curated record